This 236-nucleotide ribosomal RNA is filed under the name uncultured bacterium. RNAcentral's name for it is "partial 16S ribosomal RNA". It matches the Rfam family "Bacterial small subunit ribosomal RNA", at positions 15 to 248 of the family's 1533-position model. The record is from RNAcentral.
GAUCAUGGCUCAGAUUGAACGCUGGCGGCAGGCUUAACACAUGCAAGUCGAACGGUAACAGGAGAAAGCUUGCUUUCUUGCUGACGAGUGGCGGACGGGUGAGUAAUGCUUGGGAAUCUGGCUUAUGGAGGGGGAUAACGACGGGAAACUGUCGCUAAUACCGCGUAGAGUCGAGAGACGAAAGUGCGGGACCGCAAGGCCGCAUGCCAUAGGAUGAGCCCAAGUGGGAUCGUAGG